This 502-nucleotide ribosomal RNA is filed under the name uncultured bacterium. Its description in RNAcentral is "bacterial SSU rRNA". It matches the Rfam family "Bacterial small subunit ribosomal RNA", at positions 45 to 518 of the family's 1533-position model. The record is from RNAcentral.
UGCCUAAGACAUGCAAGUCGAACGAGACGACCUUAAGAAGACUGAGUGCUGCACGAAGUUGGAAGAAGAUCAUCGUCUAGUGGCAGACGGGUGAGUAACACGUGGGUAACCUACCUUCAAGUUGGGAUAACAGUUGGAACGAUUGCUAAUACCGAAUAAGGUACUUGUACUGAAAGAAGCCUUUAAAGCUUCGCUUAAAGAUGGGCCUGCGGCGUAUUAACUAGUUGGUGAGGUAAUGGCUCACCAAGGUAACGAUGCGUAGCCGAACUGAGAGGUUGAACGGCCACACUGGACUGAGACACGGCCCAGACUCCUACGGGAGACAGCAGUUAGGAAUAUUCGUCAAUGGGGGAAACCCUGAACGAGCAAUGCCGCGUGAGUGAUGAAAGGCCCUAUGGGUUGUAAAACUCUGUUGUAUGGGAAGAACGGUCAUAUUAGGAAAUGAAUAUGGAGUGACGGUACCAUACCAGAAAGCUCCGGCUAACUACGUGCCAGCCGCAGC